GUUGUAUAGUCAAGUAAUUAAGUGCAUGUGGUGGAUGCCUUGGCAGUCAGAGGCGAUGAAAGACGUAAUAGCCUGCGAUAAGCUCCGGGGAGGCGGCAAAUAUCCUGUGAUCCGGAGAUUUCUGAAUGGGGAAACCCACCUGUCAUAAGGCAGGUAUCGUAUGAUGAAUACAUAGUCAUACGAGGCGAACGAGGGGAAGUGAAACAUCUCAGUACCCUUAGGAAAAGAAAUCAAUUGAGAUUCCCUCAGUAGCGGCGAGCGAACGGGGAAAAGCCCAUUAAGUCAUAUCAGUUUUAGUGGAAUGCUCUGGGAAGUGCAACCAUAGUGGGUGAUAGUCCUGUACACGAAAGGGCUGAUAUGAUGAUGUCGAGUAGGGCGGGGCACGUGAAACCUUGUCUGAAUAUGGGGGGACCAUCCUCCAAGGCUAAAUACUCCUGACUGACCGAUAGUGAACCAGUACCGUGAGGGAAAGGCGAAAAGAACCCCUGUGAGGGGAGUGAAAUAGAUCCUGAAACCGCAUGCAUACAAGCAGUGGGAGCCGACUUGUUCGGUGACUGCGUACCUUUUGUAUAAUGGGUCAGCGACUUACAUUCAGUAGCAAGGUUAACCGCAUAGGGGAGCCGUAGAGAAAUCGAGUCUUAAUAGGGCGUUUAGUUGCUGGGUGUAGACCCGAAACCGGGUGAUCUAUCCAUGAGCAGGUUGAAGGUUGGGUAACACUAACUGGAGGACCGAACCCACUGUCGUUGAAAAGCCAGGGGAUGACUUGUGGAUAGGGGUGAAAGGCUAAUCAAACUCGGUGAUAGCUGGUUCUCCCCGAAAGCUAUUUAGGUAGCGCCUCGGACGAAUACCAUUGGGGGUAGAGCACUGUUUCGGCUAGGGGGUCAUCCCGACUUACCAAACCGAUGCAAACUCCGAAUACCAAUGAGUACUAUCCGGGAGACAGACUGCGGGUGCUAACGUCCGUAGUCAAGAGGAAAACAAUCCAGACCGCCAGCUAAGGCCCCAAAAUUAUAGUUAAGUGGGAAACGAUGUGGGAAGGCAUAGACAGCUAGGAGGUUGGCUUAGAAGCAGCCACCCUUUAAAGAAAGCGUAAUAGCUCACUAGUCGAGUCGGCCUGCGCGGAAGAUGUAACGGGGCUAAAACUAUAUGCCGAAGCUGCGGAUUUGCAAUUUAUUGCAAGUGGUAGGGGAGCGUUCUGUAAGCCGAUGAAGGUGUAUUGAGAAGUAUGCUGGAGGUAUCAGAAGUGCGAAUGCUGACGUGAGUAACGACAAUGCGAGUGAAAAACUCGCACGCUGAAAGACCAAGGGUUCCAGUCCAACGUUAAUCGGGGCUGGGUGAGUCGACCCCUAAGGCGAGGCCGAGAGGCGUAGUCGAUGGGAAAUUGGUUAAUAUUCCAAUACUUCUAUGUAAUGCGAUGAGAGGACGGAGAAGGUUAAGUCAGCCUGGCGUUGGUUGUCCAGGUGGAAGGUUGUAGGCAUGUAUCUUAGGCAAAUCCGGGGUACUGUAUGCUGAGAACUGAUAGCAAGCUGUACUUGUACAGUGAAGUGGCUGAUACCAUGCUUCCAGGAAAAGUCUCUAAGCUUCAGUUACAUAGGAAUCGUACCCGAAACCGACACAGGUGGUCAGGUCGAGUAGACCAAAGCGCUUGAGAGAACUCUGCUGAAGGAACUAGGCAAAAUGGUACCGUAACUUCGGGAGAAGGUACGCUGCCGACGGUGAUAGGAUUUACUCCUUGAGCUAUUGGCAGCCACAGAAACCAGGCCCCUGCAACUGUUUAUUAAAAACAUAGCACUCUGCAAACACGAAAGUGGACGUAUAGGGUGUGAUGCCUGCCCGGUGCUGGAAGGUUAAUUGAUGGGGUUAGCGUAAGCGAAGCUCUUGAUCGAAGCCCCAGUAAACGGCGGCCGUAACUAUAACGGUCCUAAGGUAGCGAAAUUCCUUGUCGGGUAAGUUCCGACCUGCACGAAUGGCAUAAUGAUGG
Molecule: ribosomal RNA, 1981 nt
Filed under: Acinetobacter johnsonii
Lineage: Bacteria; Pseudomonadati; Pseudomonadota; Gammaproteobacteria; Moraxellales; Moraxellaceae
Description: partial 23S ribosomal RNA
Rfam family: Bacterial large subunit ribosomal RNA
Source: RNAcentral